AGAGUGAACGCUGGCGGCAGGCCUAACACAUGCAAGUCGAACGGCAGCACAGGAGAGCUUGCUCUCUGGGUGGCGAGUGGCGGACGGGUGAGGAAUACGUCGGAAUCUGCCUAUUUGUGGGGGAUAACGUAGGGAAACUUACGCUAAUACCGCAUACGACCUACGGGUGAAAGCGGAGGACCUUCGGGCUUCGCGCAGAUAGAUGAGCCGACGUCGGAUUAGCUAGUUGGCGGGUAAAGGCCCACCAAGGCGACGAUCCGUAGCUGGUCUGAGAGGAUGAUCAGCCACACUGGAACUGAGACACGGCCCAGACUCCUACGGGAGCAGCAGUGGGAAUAUUGGACAAUGGGCGCAAGCCUGAUCCAGCCAUCGCCG
RNAcentral lists this ribosomal RNA (375 nucleotides) under uncultured soil bacterium. Its description in RNAcentral is "bacterial SSU rRNA". It matches the Rfam family "Bacterial small subunit ribosomal RNA", at positions 26 to 399 of the family's 1533-position model. The record is from RNAcentral.